Molecule: long non-coding RNA, 227 nt
Filed under: Manihot esculenta (cassava)
Lineage: Eukaryota; Viridiplantae; Streptophyta; Magnoliopsida; Malpighiales; Euphorbiaceae
Description: long non-coding RNA (MESC_LNC002826)
Source: RNAcentral
GCCAGAGGUGAGUGGAACUAAACUUAUGACUUUUAAUUGAACCACAAACUGCUUUUAGCAUAUCUCAUGCAUCAUGUUUAUGCCAUAGGUUGAUUGCAUUAGUAUUCACGAAUAUGUUGCAUUGCAUCGUUAUUUGGUGAUGUGAGUGAAUGCUGAAUGAUCCAAUAGUCUCAGACAGGAAGUCCAGGAGCCUUUGACUACGCCCUGGCAGGUAUAGCAAAGUCCAG